ACUCCCAGUCAUGUGGUUGCUGC
Molecule: non-coding RNA, 23 nt
Filed under: Arabidopsis thaliana (thale cress)
Lineage: Eukaryota; Viridiplantae; Streptophyta; Magnoliopsida; Brassicales; Brassicaceae
Source: RNAcentral